UUCCAUGGGUGUGUAAGGCUCCCAUGGCAGUGCUUACACUAAGGGGGCAGACCCUAAAUCUCAAAGAAUGAGAUUGUAAUUGAGAGAGUUGAAAACAGUUGAGGGAUAGUUUAAGAAGGCAGUUGAAAAAAUUGAAAGAGUUUAAGAAAAUAGUUGAAAGAGUUUGAAAAGUUGAGCGAGUUUGAAAAAUAGUUGAAGGAAUUGAGAGAGAGUUUAAGAAAUUAUUUUAGACUGUCCAGUUUUAGAACAGCAGGGCAUCAAACAAACAGGGGGCAAAAGGUAAAGGGGAAAAAUAAGUAA
This 300-nucleotide long non-coding RNA is filed under the name Nicotiana benthamiana. Its description in RNAcentral is "long non-coding RNA (NBEN_LNC032033)". Lineage: Eukaryota; Viridiplantae; Streptophyta; Magnoliopsida; Solanales; Solanaceae. The record is from RNAcentral.